RNAcentral lists this transfer RNA (76 nucleotides) under Candidatus Babelota bacterium. RNAcentral's name for it is "tRNA-Lys". It matches the Rfam family "tRNA". Rfam says of the family: Transfer RNA (tRNA) molecules are approximately 80 nucleotides in length. Their secondary structure includes four short double-helical elements and three loops (D, anti-codon, and T loops). RNAcentral also lists the same sequence under 1 other name. The record is from RNAcentral.
GAGCCGCUAGCUCAGUUGGUAGAGCAACAGCCUUUUAAGCUGUGGGUCGUAGGUUCGAUUCCUACGCGGCUCACCA